ACGAGGCACUACGGUGCUGAAGCAACAAAUGCCCUGCUUCCAGGAAAAGCCUCUAAGCAUCAGGUAACAUCAAAUCGUACCCCAAACCGACACAGGUGGUCAGGUAGAGAAUACCAAGGCGCUUGAGAGAACUCGGGUGAAGGAACUAGGCAAAAUGGUGCCGUAACUUCGGGAGAAGGCACGCUGAUAUGUAGGUGAAGCGACUUGCUCGUGGAGCUGAAAUCAGUCGAAGAUACCAGCUGGCUGCAACUGUUUAUUAAAAACACAGCACUGUGCAAACACGAAAGUGGACGUAUACGGUGUGACGCCUGCCCGGUGCCGGAA
RNAcentral lists this ribosomal RNA (324 nucleotides) under Escherichia coli. RNAcentral describes it as "partial 23S ribosomal RNA". It matches the Rfam family "Bacterial large subunit ribosomal RNA", at positions 1569 to 1874 of the family's 2925-position model. The record is from RNAcentral. Lineage: Bacteria; Pseudomonadati; Pseudomonadota; Gammaproteobacteria; Enterobacterales; Enterobacteriaceae.